AGUCGAGGGGUAUGCUUCUUCGGGAGCAGAGACCGGCGCACGGGUGCGUAACGCGUAUGCAAUCUACCUUUUACAGAGGGAUAGCCCAGAGAAAUUUGGAUUAAUACCUCAUAGUAUAUAGACUCGGCAUCGAGAUUAUAUUAAAGUCACAACGGUAAAAGAUGAGCAUGCGUCCCAUUAGCUAGUUGGUAAGGUAACGGCUUACCAAGGCUACGAUGGGUAGGGGUCCUGAGAGGGAGAUCCCCCACACUGGUACUGAGACACGGACCAGACUCCUACGGGAGGCAGCAGUGAGGAAUAUUGGACAAUGGGCGCAAGCCUGAUCCAGCCAUGCCGCGUGCAGGAUGACGGUCCUAUGGAUUGUAAACUGCUUUUGUACAGGAAGAAACACUGGUUCGUGAACCAGCUUGACGGUACUGUAAGAAUAAGGAUCGGCUAACUCCGUGCCAGCAGCCGCGGUAAUACGGAGGAUCCAAGCGUUAUCCGGAAUCAUUGGGUUUAAAGGGUCCGUAGGCGGUUUAAUAAGUCAGUGGUGAAAGCCCAUCGCUCAACGGUGGAACGGCCAUUGAUACUGUUAAACUUGAAUUAUUAGGAAGUAACUAGAAUAUGUAGUGUAGCGGUGAAAUGCUUAGAGAUUACAUGGAAUACCAAUUGCGAAGGCAGGUUACUACUAAUUGAUUGACGCUGAUGG
RNAcentral lists this ribosomal RNA (691 nucleotides) under Flavobacterium sp. S5.05.P.CHS.MI.H.Brain.M. RNAcentral's name for it is "bacterial SSU rRNA". It matches the Rfam family "Bacterial small subunit ribosomal RNA", at positions 60 to 752 of the family's 1533-position model. Lineage: Bacteria; Pseudomonadati; Bacteroidota; Flavobacteriia; Flavobacteriales; Flavobacteriaceae. The record is from RNAcentral.